GGUUAAGCGACUAAGCGUACACGGUGGAUGCCCUGGCAGUCAGAGGCGAUGAAGGACGUGCUAAUCUGCGAAAAGCGUCGGUAAGGUGAUAUGAACCGUUACAGCCGGCGAUGUCCGAAUGGGGAAACCCAGUGCAAUUCGUUGCACUAUCGUUAACUGAAUACAUAGGUUAACGAGGCGAACCGGGGGAACUGAAACAUCUAAGUACCCCGAGGAAAAGAAAUCAACCGAGAUUCCCCCAGUAGCGGCGAGCGAACGGGGAGCAGCCCGGAGUCUGAAUCAGCUUGUGUGUUAGUGGAAGCGUCUGGAAAGUCGCAGGGUACAGGGUGAUACUCCCGUACACUAAAACACACAGGUUGUGAACUCGAAGAGUAGGGCGGGACACGUGGUAUCCUGUCUGAAUAUGGGGGGACCAUCCUCCAAGGCUAAAUACUCCUGACUGACCGAUAGUGAACCAGUACCGUGAGGGAAAGGCGAAAAGAACCCCGGCGAGGGGAGUGAAAAAGAACCUGAAACCGUGUACGUACAAGCAGUAGGAGCCCACUUGUUGGGUGACUGCGUACCUUUUGUAUAAUGGGUCAGCGACUUAUAUUCUGUAGCAAGGUUAACCGUAUAGGGGAGCCGCAGGGAAACCGAGUCUUAACUGGGCGUUAAGUUGCAGGGUAUAGACCCGAAACCCGGUGAUCUAGCCAUGGGCAGGUUGAAGGUUGGGUAACACUAACUGGAGGACCGAACCGACUAAUGUUGAAAAAUUAGCGGAUGACUUGUGGCUGGGGGUGAAAGGCCAAUCAAACCGGGAGAUAGCUGGUUCUCCCCGAAAGCUAUUUAGGUAGCGCCUCGUGAACUCAUCUUCGGGGGUAGAGCACUGUUUCGGCUAGGGGGUCAUCCCGACUUACCAACCCGAUGCAAACUACGAAUACCGAAGAAUGUUAUCACGGGAGACACACGGCGGGUGCUAACGUCCGUCGUGAAGAGGGAAACAACCCAGACCGCCAGCUAAGGUCCCAAAGUCAUGGUUAAGUGGGAAACGAUGUGGGAAGGCCCAGACAGCCAGGAUGUUGGCUUAGAAGCAGCCAUCAUUUAAAGAAAGCGUAAUAGCUCACUGGUCGAGUCGGCCUGCGCGGAAGAUGUAACGGGGCUAAACCAUGCACCGAAGCUGCGGCAGCGACACUAUGUGUUGUUGGGUAGGGGAGCGUUCUGUAAGCCGUUGAAGGUGGCCUGUGAGGGUUGCUGGAGGUAUCAGAAGUGCGAAUGCUGACAUAAGUAACGAUAAUGCGGGUGAAAAACCCGCACGCCGGAAGACCAAGGGUUCCUGUCCAACGUUAAUCGGGGCAGGGUGAGUCGACCCCUAAGGCGAGGCCGAAAGGCGUAGUCGAUGGGAAACAGGUUAAUAUUCCUGUACUCGGUGUUACUGCGAAGGGGGGACGGAGAAGGCUAUGUUGGCCGGGCGACGGUUGUCCCGGUUUAAGCAUGUAGGCGGAUGUUCCAGGUAAAUCCGGAACGUCACUAACGCUGAGGUGUGAUGACGAGGCACUACGGUGCUGAAGUGACAAAUGCCCUGCUUCCAGGAAAAGCCUCUAAGCAUCAGGUAACAUCAAAUCGUACCCCAAACCGACACAGGUGGUCAGGUAGAGAAUACCAAGGCGCUUGAGAGAACUCGGGUGAAGGAACUAGGCAAAAUGGUGCCGUAACUUCGGGAGAAGGCACGCUGAUGGUAAGUGAAGUGACUUGCUCAUGGAGCUGAAAUCAGUCGAAGAUACCAGCUGGCUGCAACUGUUUAUUAAAAACACAGCACUGUGCAAACACGAAAGUGGACGUAUACGGUGUGACGCCUGCCCGGUGCCGGAAGGUUAAUUGAUGGGGUUAUCCUCGCGGAGAAGCUCUUGAUCGAAGCCCCGGUAAACGGCGGCCGUAACUAUAACGGUCCUAAGGUAGCGAAAUUCCUUGUCGGGUAAGUUCCGACCUGCACGAAUGGCGUAAUGAUGGCCAGGCUGUCUCCACCCGAGACUCAGUGAAAUUGAACUCGCUGUGAAGAUGCAGUGUACCCGCGGCAAGACGGAAAGACCCCGUGAACCUUUACUAUAGCUUGACACUGAACACUGGUCCUUGAUGUGUAGGAUAGGUGGGAGGCUUUGAAGUGUGGACGCCAGUCUGCAUGGAGCCAUCCUUGAAAUACCACCCUUUAAUGGCUGGUGUUCUAACGUGGGCCCGUAAUCCGGGUUGCGGACAGUGUCUGGUGGGUAGUUUGACUGGGGCGGUCUCCUCCUAAAGAGUAACGGAGGAGCACGAAGGUCAGCUAAUCCUGGUCGGACAUCAGGAGGUUAGUGCAAUGGCAUAAGCUGGCUUGACUGCGAGCGUGACGGCGCGAGCAGGUGCGAAAGCAGGUCAUAGUGAUCCGGUGGUUCUGAAUGGAAGGGCCAUCGCUCAACGGAUAAAAGGUACUCCGGGGAUAACAGGCUGAUACCGCCCAAGAGUUCAUAUCGACGGCGGUGUUUGGCACCUCGAUGUCGGCUCAUCACAUCCUGGGGCUGAAGUAGGUCCCAAGGGUAUGGCUGUUCGCCAUUUAAAGUGGUACGCGAGCUGGGUUUAGAACGUCGUGAGACAGUUCGGUCCCUAUCUGCCGUGGGCGCUGGAGAAUUGAGGGGGGCUGCUCCUAGUACGAGAGGACCGGAGUGGACGCAUCACUGGUGUUCGGGUUGUCAUGCCAAUGGCAUUGCCCGGUAGCUAAAUGCGGAAGAGAUAAGUGCUGAAAGCAUCUAAGCACGAAACUUGCCCCGAGAUGAGUUCUCCCUGACUCCUUGAGAGUCCUGAAGGAACGUUGAAGACGACGACGUUGAUAGGCCGGGUGUGUAAGCGCAGCGAUGCGUUGAGCUAACCGGUACUAAUGAACCGUGAGGCUUAACCUU
Molecule: ribosomal RNA, 2906 nt
Filed under: Klebsiella michiganensis
Lineage: Bacteria; Pseudomonadati; Pseudomonadota; Gammaproteobacteria; Enterobacterales; Enterobacteriaceae
Description: 23S ribosomal RNA
Rfam family: Bacterial large subunit ribosomal RNA
Source: RNAcentral